UUCCUACGGGAGGCAGCAGUGAGGAAUAUUGCGCAAUGGGGGAAACCCUGACGCAGCAACGCCGCGUGGGUGAAGAAGGCCUUCGGGUCGUAAAGCCCUUUCGGACGGGACGAACGCUCCGCGGGGAUAAUCCGCGGAGUCUGACGGUACCGUAGGAAGAAGCACCGGCUAACUCCGUGCCAGCAGCCGCGGUAAUACGGAGGGUGCAAGCGUUGUUCGGAAUUACUGGGCGUAAAGCGCGUGUAGGCGGCCUUGUAAGUCAGAUGUGAAAGCCCCCGGCUUAACCGGGGAAGUGCAUCUGAAACUGCUUGGCUUGAGUACGGGAGAGGGAGGCGGAAUUCCCAGUGUAGAGGUGAAAUUCGUAGAUAUUGGGAGGAACACCGGUGGCGAAAGCGGCCUCCUGGACCGAUACUGACGCUGAGACGCGAAAGCGUGGGGAGCAAACAGGAUUAGAUACCCUGGUAGUCCACGCUGUAAACGAUGGGCACUAGGUGUGGGGGGUAUCCACUCCUCCCGUGCCGCAGCUAACGCAUUAAGUGCCCCGCCUGGGGAGUACGGCCGCAAGGCUAAAACUCAAAUGAAUUGACGGAA
RNAcentral lists this ribosomal RNA (591 nucleotides) under uncultured Geobacter sp. RNAcentral's name for it is "bacterial SSU rRNA". It matches the Rfam family "Bacterial small subunit ribosomal RNA", at positions 336 to 918 of the family's 1533-position model. The record is from RNAcentral. Lineage: Bacteria; Pseudomonadati; Thermodesulfobacteriota; Desulfuromonadia; Geobacterales; Geobacteraceae.